CUCAAACUCCUGACCUUGUGAUCCGCCUGCCUCGGCCUUCCAAAGUGCUGGGAUUACAAGCAUGAGCCACCAUGCCCGGCCGCACCCAGCUAAUUUUUUAUAUUUUUAGUAGAGAUGGCGUUUCACCAUGUUGGCCAGGCUGGUCUUGAACUCCUGACUGCAGGAGCCACUGCGCCCGGCCCUAGGUUGUUUAUUAAUAACCCAUUUUAAUAUGGGACUAUGAGCAGAGGCUGGGAAGCAAAACUUGUCACAUCAGUGUUUCUCUUUGAAUUGGGGGUAGGUGGGUGGGUGGCUCUUUAGCAAGGGGCUGAAAUACUGCUUGCAGCACAUUCCACCCCGGUCAUCAGACAAAGGCACCCUCAGAGCUACCCCCUGCUCCUUCUCAGGCUCCAUCUGGCCUGAGCACCCUGCCCCAGCGAGUCCUCCGGAAAGAGCCUGUCACCCCAUCUGCACUUGUCCUCAUGAGCCGCUGCAAUGUCCAGCCCACAGCUGCCCCUGGCCAGAAGGUGAUGGAGAAUAGCAGUGGGACACCCAACAUCUUAACGCGGCACUUCACAAUUGAUGACUUUGAGAUUGGGCGUCCUCUGGGCAAAGAUCAUGGAGGAGUUGGCAGAUGCUCUAAUGUACUGCCAUGGGAAGAAGGUGAUUCACAGAGACAUAAAGCCAGAAAAUCUGCUCUUAGGGCUCAAGGGAGAGCUGAAGAUUGCUGACUUCGGCUGGUCUGUGCAUGCUCCCUCCCUG
Molecule: small RNA, 741 nt
Filed under: Pan troglodytes (chimpanzee)
Lineage: Eukaryota; Metazoa; Chordata; Mammalia; Primates; Hominidae
Description: retained intron
Source: RNAcentral